UUCACAAUCUCUAGGUAGGUCGGACAAUUUCUUCUCCAAUGACCUUCAACAUUAUAAUGAAAAUACUUUUUCUUAUCAUCAACCUUCUUCGAAACCUGCUUCUUGGACUUGGCCUUGUUCUUUUGCUUCUUCAUAGGCUUUUUCUUUUUCUUGAAAGAAAUUUUUUUCUUAGAGGAAGCUCAUUCCACAAUCAGAAUUGUACCCCUUGAACCUUUCAAGGUGCCCUCAGCUGUCACUAACAUGUUCAGCAAUUCAGGCAAAGUGCUAUUAAUUUUAUUCAUAUGAUAGUUUAUAAUGAACUGCUCAUAUAAAUCAGAAAGAGAUUGGAA
RNAcentral lists this long non-coding RNA (329 nucleotides) under Elaeis guineensis (African oil palm). RNAcentral's name for it is "long non-coding RNA (EGUI_LNC064998)". The record is from RNAcentral. Lineage: Eukaryota; Viridiplantae; Streptophyta; Magnoliopsida; Arecales; Arecaceae.